UAGGGAAUCUUCCGCAAUGGACGCAAGUCUGACGGAGCAACGCCGCGUGAGUGAAGAAGGAUUUCGGUUCGUAAAACUCUGUUGUUAGAGAAGAACAGCGUAUAGAGUAACUGUUAUGCGUGCGACGGUAUCUAACCAGAAAGCCACGGCUAACUACGUGCCAGCAGCCCCGGUAAUACGUAGGUGGCAAGCGUUGUCCGGAUUUAUUGGGCGUAAAGUGAGCGCAGGCGGUCAAUUAAGUCUGAUGUGAAAGCCCCCGGCUCAACCGGGGAGGGCCAUUGGAAACUGGUUGACUUGAGUGCAGAGGAGGGGGGUGGAAUUCCAUGUGUGGCGGUAAAAUGCGUAAUUAUAUGGAGGAACACCAGUGGCGAAGGCGACUCUCUGGUCUGUACCUGACGCGGAGGCUCGAAAACGGGGGUAGCAAACAGG
RNAcentral lists this ribosomal RNA (429 nucleotides) under Bacteroidota bacterium. RNAcentral describes it as "Bacteroidetes bacterium partial 16S ribosomal RNA". It matches the Rfam family "Bacterial small subunit ribosomal RNA", at positions 355 to 776 of the family's 1533-position model. Lineage: Bacteria; Pseudomonadati; Bacteroidota. The record is from RNAcentral.